AAAGCCGGAUUAAUACCGCAUACGACCUGAGGGUGAAAGCGGGGGAUCUUUCGGACCUCGCGCUAUUGGAGCGGCCGAUGGCAGAUUAGCUAGUCGGUGGGGUAAAGGCCUACCAAGGCGACGAUCUGUAGCUGGUCUGAGAGGACGACCAGCCACACUGGGACUGAGACACGGCCCAGACUCCUACGGGAGGCAGCAGUGGGGAAUUUUGGACAAUGGGCGAAAGCCUGAUCCAGCAAUGCCGCGUGUGUGAUGAAGGGCUUCGGGUUGUAAAGCACUUUUGGCGGGAACGAAAAGGACUGUGCCAAUACCACGGUUCGAUGAC
This 325-nucleotide ribosomal RNA is filed under the name Lautropia mirabilis. RNAcentral describes it as "bacterial SSU rRNA". It matches the Rfam family "Bacterial small subunit ribosomal RNA", at positions 154 to 473 of the family's 1533-position model. Lineage: Bacteria; Pseudomonadati; Pseudomonadota; Betaproteobacteria; Burkholderiales; Burkholderiaceae. The record is from RNAcentral.